UAGUAACUGCGAGUGAAGAGGGAAAAGCUCAAAUUUAAAAUCUGGCGGGCUCUGCUCGUCCGAGUUGUAAUCUGGAGAAGCGUUUUCCGCGUCGGACCGUGCACAAGUCUCCUGGAACGGAGCGUCAUAGAGGGUGAGAAUCCCGUCCAUGGCACGGAGCGCCGAUGCUUUGUGAUACGUUUUCAAAGAGUCGAGUUGUUUGGGAAUGCAGCUCAAAACGGGUGGUAAAUUCCAUCUAAAGCUAAAUAUUGGCGAGAGACCGAUAGCGAACAAGUACCGUGAGGGAAAGAUGAAAAGCACUUUGGAAAGAGAGUUAAACAGUACGUGAAAUUGUUGAAAGGGAAACGCUUGAAGUCAGUCGCGUCCGACGGAACUCAGCCUUGCUUCGGCCUGGUGUACUUUCUGUCGGACGGGUCAACAUCAGUUUUGACCGGUGGAGAAAGGUAGGGGGAAUGUAGCGCCGUUUCGGCGGCGUGUUAUAGCCCCUUGCUGUAUGCAUCGGUCGGGACUGAGGACCGCAGCACGCCUUUUUGGCCGGGGGUUCGCCCUACGUACCGUGCUUAGGAUGUUGGCAUAAUGGCUUUAAGCGACCCGUCUUGAAACACGGACCAAGGAGUCCAACAUGCUUGCGAGUGUUCGGGUGGAAAACCCUUGCGCGUAAUGAAAGUAACAGUUGGGAACCUCCGCAAGGGGGUGCACCGACGCCCGGCCCUGAAGUUCUCUGACGGUGCUGCGGUAGAGCAAGUAUGCUGGGACCCGAAAGAUGGUGAACUAUGCCUGAAUAGGGCGAAGCCAGAGGAAACUCUGGUGGAGGCUCGUAGCGAUUCUGACGUGCAAAUCGAUCGUC
This 847-nucleotide ribosomal RNA is filed under the name Phellinus nigricans. RNAcentral describes it as "eukaryotic LSU rRNA". It matches the Rfam family "Eukaryotic large subunit ribosomal RNA", at positions 81 to 906 of the family's 3401-position model. Lineage: Eukaryota; Fungi; Basidiomycota; Agaricomycetes; Hymenochaetales; Hymenochaetaceae. The record is from RNAcentral.